Corvus hawaiiensis (hawaiian crow) is the source of this 880-nucleotide long non-coding RNA. RefSeq lists it as uncharacterized. NCBI's taxonomy places the organism in Eukaryota, Metazoa, Chordata, Aves, Passeriformes, Corvidae. The transcript is spliced from 4 exons. The record is from RefSeq and is a predicted model, not a curated record.
GAAGUGCAAACUCCAAAACAGUGAGUGUCUGCUCCUGAACCCCAGAGCUGCUCCUGAGCUGUUUCCCAGUAGAGCUGCCACAGCUCAGGGGGAUUUGGGGGAAGCUUUUCUGGGCAACUGUUUUCAGCAACUUAAUGGGAAUUGGUGCAUGCAACUUAUUUUAAAAAUAAGGUACCCGAAAGAGAAGAGAACAAAAGCUGCUUUAACUGCUGGGCAGAACAGAAGCAUUGAGUGUGAAAGAACAAUCUGCAUUUUCUUGACCAAGUUUGUAUUUGUUUACUGGCAAAACAGGCCAAAGCGUAGGCACAACCAAGAAUAUUGUCCUGUUCUCUUGCUGGCUGUGUGAAAGAAUUGUGUCUCCUGGAGGGAUGCUGUGAAAGGAAAAUACUCUCUGUUGGGGUUGACUUGUUCUGGGGGGUUCACCAGCACAGGCAGUUUUCUCACAGCGCCUCGUUCCUUUUCCCUUGCCCACUGCAGGUCACCUGACCCAUGUAUUCAGAGGUGCCGAUCCCAAGGGCACAGAACUAACAGCAGACUCUCCUCUGGCUCCCUCUGCUCCUGGAGAAGAGGCCAAAGAGGAGCAGAAUGACCACAACCCUCCAGCUGUGAUCACACCACAGCCUGAACUUUCCAAGACACUCCUUCUGGAGAAAGAGCAUGAGCAGAUUGCUCUAUCAGAGAUGCCGUGCCAGACUCGGGGAGAGCUGUUCCCAGCCCGAGAGCAGCUGGAGCAGCUCAGGCAGCAGGUGGAAGAGCCACAAGAGAAUGGCCAAGACAUCAAGGCAGAGCCACAAGCAGAGCUGCCCGAAGCCCAGAGUGACAUCAAGGCAGUGAAGAGGAGGCACGAGGAAGACAUCAGAAGAAUUCAAGAGCACUGGAA